Molecule: non-coding RNA, 1680 nt
Organism: Jatropha curcas
Lineage: Eukaryota; Viridiplantae; Streptophyta; Magnoliopsida; Malpighiales; Euphorbiaceae
Source: RefSeq, a predicted model, not a curated record
AUCACACAUGCAUCUUUAAGGGCUUGUGUGAUAAUCUUGCUGCCAUUGCGAAACCUGUACGAAACAAAGAAAAAGUCUUCUAUCUUCUUACAAGUCUUGGACAUUAGUAAGAAACCUUUACAAUAAUGACACCGAAACCUCCAAGACCAACCUAUUUUGAGCUGAUUUCACAAUUACAAAAUUUUGAUCAGCGUCGUAAUUGGUUUUCAAACCAAACAGAUGCAUCUUUUUUCUUAACUCACCCCACACUUAACCUUUUAUGGGCAACAGAAACAAUCUCAAAGUACUCCUUCAAGGAAUUGCAAAAGUACCUUCACCUCCUCUGGUCAUGGGGUUUCAGGCACAAUAGCCACGAAACCAAAACUAAAGUUUUCUACACAACCCAACAUUAGCUGCAUAACAACGAAGACCACCUCUAGGUAAACGACGCAUGACAGUCGUAGAGGGAGAUCUGUAUCAAAAUGAAAUAUGUUAAUUUAGUGGGAAUUCAGGCCAUAUUCCCAAAAUUUAUUAGUGGAUACCGAAACAGAUGACUCAACGUGAUUCAAUUCCAUAAGCUCUUGCUGCCCUCACCUUAGACAACACCAUUGCUAACACAGAAUGGACUGCUGAUACAGGAGCUUCCCAUCACAUGACAGGUAUUCUACAUCAAAUUUUAUGGCUCUAUACUCCGGAGCAAACAUGUAUGGUUAAGAGGAGGCAUCGAACUAUACGCGAGAGGUUGUAUCAGGUGGCAAUCAAUCUCACGAUGGAAAUUAAUGGUUAUAAGAUGUUUGGAGAGCAAUCGAUAAACAACAGCUAUCUUCUUGUAAUAUGGAGCGCCAACUACAAGAGAUUCAAAUCCAAUUGUGCACCUUGUUAAGAGGUGGAGAUGAAAAUAAAAACAGCAUAAUUGAAAAGCUGGAGGAGUUUACCAUGACAAAGAUAUUGAAGAUCAUAUCUUUCUAAAUCCUAGACAAGCUAAUAAUCAAAACGAUUAUAGUGAUGAUGAAGAAGACAUGAUUUAUGCAUCACAGAAACAUCAUGGAAGAUUCAAUAGAGUCUACCAAGACAUCCCUACUUUUAUCGAUGACAUCGACGUUGAAGGUUUCUUAGAUUAAUUGGCUGAGGUUUAUUAAUAUGUUAAAUAAUACCUUUUUGAAUCUUAUCAAAAUUUCUCACAAGGAACCUGAAGCGUAUAUGAGUAUACAUUUGAAUCUUUGAGAUUAGCGACAAUAAAUCACUUAGCUGAAAAAUGAUAAUCAAUAAUCAGCAAGAUAAUUAAAGUGACUCGAAUGUUUCAUCCAAGAUAAGAUAAGUAUUCAAAUGGUCAUGGGUGUUCAAGAGGCAAGAAAUAUAGCCUUAAAAGCGUAAAUGACGAUGUAAGGAAAGAUUAGCCAUGAUUUCUAUCAUGGGCAUGCUAAAGAUGACAACCAAAUAGGGAUACUUCACAAGAUGUUGAUAAUAAGAAGGGAGCAAGCAAUAAAGUGAAAGCAAGAGUCCAUGUCUUCAAGCCAGUUUUGAAGUCGGUUCAUCGAUUCUUCUAGUUGACCACCGGGUCGGAUUGGGCUUAAGAACUAUGUUUUUGUCCAAUAGUGUGCACUAAGUGAUCCUAAGCUUUUGAUGAUUCUUGUAAUAAAUAGUUUUGUAUUUACAAUUCAAACCAUAAUUGCAAUUUAGGAUGUCAGUACAAAAGGUCAC